RNAcentral lists this ribosomal RNA (450 nucleotides) under uncultured bacterium. RNAcentral's name for it is "partial 16S ribosomal RNA". It matches the Rfam family "Bacterial small subunit ribosomal RNA", at positions 338 to 795 of the family's 1533-position model. The record is from RNAcentral.
CCUACGGGUGGCAGCAGUAAGGAAUAUUGGGCAAUGGAGGCAACUCUGACCCAGCCAUGCCGCGUGAAGGAUGACGGCCCUAUGGGUUGUAAACUUCUUCUAUACGGGAAUAAACCCGGGUACGUGUACCCGGCUGAAUGUACCGUAAGAAUAAGGAUCGGCUAACUCCGUGCCAGCAGACGCGGUAAUACGGAGGAUCCAAGCGUUAUCCGGUUUCAUUGGGUUUAAAGGGUACGUGGACGGCAGUGGUGAACUCCUACAGCUUAACUGUAGAACUGCCGUUGAUACUGCAAGUCUUGAGUACAGUUGAUGUGGGCGGAAUGUGUCAUGUAGCGGUGAAAUGCUUAGAGAUGACACGGAACACCAAUUGCGAAGGCAGCUCACAAAACUGUAACUGACGCUGAGGCACGACAGCGUGGGGAUCAAACAGGAUUAGAUACCCGAGUAGUC